CCGCGUGAGUGAUGAAGGUUUUCGGAUCGUAAAGCUCUGUUGUUAAGGGAAAGAACAAGUACCGUUCGAAUAGGGCCGGUACCUUGACGGUACCUAACCAGAAAGCCACGGCUAACUACGUGCCACACCCGGUAAUACGUAGGUGGCAAGCGUUGUCCGGAAUUAUUGGGCGUAAAGGGCUCGCAGCGGUUUCUUAAGUCUGAUGUGAAAGCCCCCGGCUCAACCGGGGAGGGUCAUUGGAAACUGGGGAACUUGAGUGCAGAAGAGGAGAGUGGAAUUCCACGUGUAGCGGUGAAAUGCGUAGAGAUGUGGAGGAACACCAGUGGCGAAGGCGACUCUCUGGUCUGUAACUGACGCUGAGGAGCGAAAGCGUGGGGAGCGAACAGGAUUAGAUACCCUGGUAGUCCACGCCGUAAACGAUGAGUGCUAAGUGUUAGGGGGUUUCCGCCCCUUAGUGCUGCAGCUAACGCAUUAAGCACUCCGCCUGGGGAGUACGGUCGCAAGACUGAAACUCAAAGGAAUUGACGGGGGCCCGCACAAGCGGUGGAGCAUGUGGUUUAAUUCGAAGCAACGCGAAGAACCUUACCAGGUCUUGACAUCCUCUGACAAUCCUAAGAUAGACGUCCCCUUCGGGGGC
RNAcentral lists this ribosomal RNA (637 nucleotides) under Bacillus subtilis. RNAcentral describes it as "bacterial SSU rRNA". It matches the Rfam family "Bacterial small subunit ribosomal RNA", at positions 397 to 1027 of the family's 1533-position model. Lineage: Bacteria; Bacillati; Bacillota; Bacilli; Caryophanales; Bacillaceae. The record is from RNAcentral.